AGAGUUCUAUAACUCCCAAACCCAUGUGAACAUACCUAACGUUGCCUCGGCAGGUCGCACCUACCUUGUAGCACCUUACCCUGUAAGGCCUACCCGGGAGGUGCGGGUAAGCCUGCCGGCGGCCCACCAAACUCUGUUUGAUAUUGAAUUCUGAACCUAUAACUAAAUAAGUUAAAACUUUCAACAACGGAUCUCUUGGUUCUGGCAUCGAUGAAGAACGCAGCGAAAUGCGAUAAGUAAUGUGAAUUGCAGAAUUCAGUGAAUCAUCGAAUCUUUGAACGCAUAUUGCGCCCAUUAGUAUUCUAGUGGGCAGGACCGUUCGAGCGUCAUUUCAACCCUUAAGCCUUCGUUGCUUAGUGUUGGGAGCCUACGGCAACGUAGCUCCUCAAAGUUAGUGGCGGAGUUGGUUCACACUCUAGACGUAGUAAUUUUUUAUAUCGCCUAUUAGUUGAACUAAUACCCUGCCGUAAAACCCCCAAUUUAUCAAGGUUGACCUCGAAUCGGUUCAGACAAACUCGCUAAAUUGAAGCAUCUUAGUCAGCGAAGGAAAAGAAACCAACAGGGAUUGCCCUAGUAACGGCGAGUGAAGCGGCA
RNAcentral lists this ribosomal RNA (594 nucleotides) under fungal endophyte. RNAcentral describes it as "eukaryotic LSU rRNA". The stretch from base 176 to 329 matches the Rfam family "5.8S ribosomal RNA". Lineage: Eukaryota; Fungi. The record is from RNAcentral.